Helianthus annuus (common sunflower) is the source of this 1783-nucleotide long non-coding RNA. RefSeq lists it as uncharacterized. The record is from RefSeq and is a predicted model, not a curated record. NCBI's taxonomy places the organism in Eukaryota, Viridiplantae, Streptophyta, Magnoliopsida, Asterales, Asteraceae. The transcript is spliced from 8 exons.
UGUCUAUGGUGGUUAUCUCCUUUUAUUAAGACGGUUUUCACACUCCCUUCCGAAUCCCACUCCCACGUUCUGCCUCUACACUCCUUUAUAUAUCACUCUUCAAUCCCCAUUGGAACUCCUCUCACUCUAAUAAUACAUAACCCUAACCAUCACCAAUUGACAAUCAUCGCACAACCACCACCGCAACGAGGGGAAUGGACCGGCAACCGUCACACCACCACUCCGACGACGGCCGCACUAGCGGCGAACUUCCGGCACUCGAUUGUCACAUCACUUCUCUCUGCGAUCAUAUUCAAUCGGAAACUUCUAAUCACGGAUUGUUCUCGAAUGUAAUCAUGAAGGCUAUGGUCGCUAGGUGGUUAUCUUCUAAUUUUAGGCCCAUUAUAUCCACACCUCUAGCAAAGGUCAUCGAGUAAUCAAGUGGGACUUCUGAUAUAAAAAAGUAAUUAAUGUUAGUGAUGACAAACCAAGUGCUUGAAGUUUAAAGGAGUUUUUCUCUCUACCCUGCACAUUAACUCAAUUACAUGAUUUGACACACUUCUAAGGAGGUUAAACUUCUGGAUAAACAAGGGGAUUAUUGCCGAUUGCUGAGUCAUCAUGUGCUGUCUCAAAUGACCGCUUGUGUACACUAGAGAAUGACAUGGCUGAUGGUGGCAAAUCAGUAACCAAUAAUGAGGCGUUGGGGGAAGAUGAUGAUGCUGAGACAUCAGUGGCUUCAGUUGAAGAUCGAUUAAGAAAAAAAAAACUUAUUCAUCAUUGGAAUGCUUAAAAAUGUCGGUAAGAUGAGAUUUGAGCGGAUUCAUAACAUUCUCAAGGUGGAUUCCACACUGCUUUUGGAGAGCAAGGGAACAAAUAGAAGAUCCCAGAGUUAACAUCAUGGAGCUUAAAUUGCCUGUGAUGUAGGCAUAUGAACCUGCUGCCAUGUUUAAAAAAACUACACUAAAUUGACAAGUAAGAUGCAAUGACAACAAUUCUACUAUGGCCGGGUUUGACAUUCAACCAAUCUGGAAACAGAUGGCUUGCAUAGUCUGAGGUGAGACUAAAUUCAAGAAUUUGAAAAAAAGCAAAACCACUGCAGGGGCUGCAGGGAUUUCAGUCACAUUCCUUGGAGAAAACAUUGUAACCGGGCUAAAACUUGAAGAUCAAAUUGCACUUGGGAGACGAUACUCGACCAUCGGGAGUGCAGGUACAGUUCGGUUCCAAUCCGAUACAACUUUUGGAGCCAACAUCGAGGUCCAACGGCGGGAGCUGGAUUACCCAAUCAGUCAAGUUCAGUCAACAAUCCGGUUAUCCAUCAUAAAAUGGAGGGGUGAUUUGGCGUUAGGAUUUAACAAUUUGGCUCAGUUCUCAGUUCUCUGCUGGGCGAAACUCAAAAGUGGCGGUUCGAGCCGGAAUUAACAAUAAAAUGAGUGGUCAAAUCAAGUGGAAAACUAGCAGCUCGGAAUGUCUUUCACUUGCACUUGCAGUAGUUAUUCCAUCUGUUAUUUUGGCUUACAAGAAAUUGAGGUCCGGUGUUGGUGAUAUAGACAAGUACUCCCGUAUUAAAGUUAGCAGGCUUUUAUGGUCGGGCUUAUUUGGUAUUUUUGAGAUUGUUGUGUUUUGAUUUUAUAUCGAAUAAUAUGCUUAUUUACUUUAUUCAGCAGUUGAAACUUUUGUUUGUUUUUGGUGCUCUCAACAAUGUAGUAAGAUGUUGAGAUGAAAUUACGAGGGAUCCUUAUUACUUACUAUCUUUGUGUUUGGCCUGCUGUUAUUAUAUAUAAGAUUAUUAUGGUAUGUGCCUCGC